Molecule: transfer RNA, 62 nt
Filed under: Sclerotia substriata
Lineage: Eukaryota; Metazoa; Arthropoda; Insecta; Coleoptera; Lampyridae
Description: tRNA-His
Source: RNAcentral
AUUUAAAUAGUUUAAAUAAAAUAUUGAUUUGUGGUGUCAAAGAUGUAGUUGUACUUUAAAUU